Molecule: non-coding RNA, 3188 nt
Organism: Poecilia reticulata (guppy)
Lineage: Eukaryota; Metazoa; Chordata; Actinopteri; Cyprinodontiformes; Poeciliidae
Source: RefSeq, a predicted model, not a curated record
GUAGGAGAUGCUUGAGAUGUUGGUUUUAAUAACUUAGAAAACAUUUGUUACAGCAGCACUACAGUAACAGUACAACAGAGAUAAAUGGAAGGAGCCGCAUUCACAUCCAGCGGCGCCGAUUUCAAACGAACCGGAGCGCAGAGGCCUGACCGGAAUGACGCUGGACUGGUGAAAACAAAAAGCCUCACAUCGUGAUCUCACGUCAAACAAACAGACUUUUACUGACACCGACUUCUUAAAACACCGAGUCAGAUCCCAGAAAACAUGCUUCCAGGUUCCACAUCGAUGCAAAUCAUCAAAUUUUCUGCAUCAAGGAAAUUGUUUAAACUUUUCCGGCGAGAAGAAAACAUGAUUAUGAGCUGUUGAAUCCCAGUCAGAAGGGUGUGUGUUGUAAUCCCACAACAGCUGAACAACCACAGGAAAGUACCUGAAACAACGUUUGGUUAUUUACGUAGCGCUGAGCUAAAACCCAAUUCUGUUUAGGGUUAAAAAGCUUUUUGCACCACCCGCAUUUUACAGUUUUUAGGUGGUUUUUUAUUGUAACAAAAGCUAAACUCACAUUUUAAAUAAUCAAAAUUUCACCUUUACAUACUUUUUUCCCCUCCUCUUUGAGCAGGUGUUAAUUAGUUUGACUUUCCCAUUUUCUCAGGCACAAGCAACAGUAACAAAAUCAACUUUUAAAUAAAAAAAAAAAAAAAAUUAAAAAAGGCUGUAACUACUUUUAUAAAUCUCAAUUUUCUUUUCAUCGUGCAUCAAGUGUAAUUUAUAAGGAAAAAGACAGAUUUACCCUAAAACAUUUAUGCAUAAACAUCAAGGAAAUACUUGGCAUUGUAAUAUAGGGUAAAAAAAAUUCUGUUUAAAGAGUAAUAGAUUGUGACUGUGUUUCUUACUAGGAAGCUUUUUGUUUAAUUAUUUCAAAAAUAAAGAUGGCGCAGGAGGACUUCAGCUAACUGUUGUGUUUUAUUUGGACUCAAAAUGGCGUCACAGAUUUGUAGAGGGGGUAAAACUUUUUAAAAACUUGAUUAAAACAAGUUGUGAUCAAACAGAAAAAUCGAAAAGAAGCUAUCUGGUGAACAGGCUUCCCUUCAAACCUUAACUGUCACAUUUCCGCUAACUUAUUAGCGCAGAAACGAAGAGUGGAAAAUACCAGAAAGAACAUGCUGAGUCAUCCGUCGCUAUGGUGAUUCCCGCCUUUUUUAGUGCAGCAGAGAGCAUACAGCAGAAGCCACGGUAGGAAAACUACAAGUCAAACAAAUGAAAAACUAAUAUCCAUGAGCAUCUGAACCUUCUAGUGGCUACUUUUUUAUCUUUUAUUUAUGAGAGGCGGAAAAAAAAAACUUUGAAAAGAGCAUUUUUUUAAAGUAUAUUUUGGGUUUUGACAGAUAAGUCCUACAGCAGUGGGAGGCACACUGGGUGAAAGCAGACGGAAAAACCUACAUUUUGAUGUAAAAACUGUACAUUUGGAGAUGAUGUUUCUGAAUAUUUCACAGGGUCUGAAUCCUUCACGGAAAAUGAAAAGAAAAAAACUUGUAAAACUUCAACUGCAAUUACGUUUAAAAAAGAAAAAAUCCAACUUCCUGUGAAGUCUGUUUUUCUCAGCUCUGUGGGGGGAGCAGUGAUCAGAAAGAAACAUGCAAAUAUACCAACAAGGAAGAAAAAUGUUCUCCGGACAAUUUGUUGCGCUGAAAUGAAGGUAACAACGAAUAAUGUUUGCACUUCUACUUGUAUACUGUAUGCUAGAAUAGAAGUAUGUAGUGUUAAGUUUUCACCCUCACUUUGUUUCAUAAAAGGCAACGUAGAAAAUUACAUUUGUGUGGCUAUUAAUAACUGUUUAUAACAGCGUCUCUUCCCGUUGAAAGCACAACUUCUAAAACCCAUCUGACUCAAAGUACUGUAGUUUAUCUCCAACAUGUUAGAAGAUAAAUAAUCAGUUUUUUUUAAGUUUUAUUCCUUCCAUCAGGACAUGAAAUGUUAAAAACCUAUAAAAAGACAAGUAGUGUUCAGCUCUUUCAGGCUCAAAACACACACAAAUAAAACGUAAUCAUCUAAAGUGUGUCUUAUUUUUUUUCUGAGAGCACUUUUGUUUUUUUUUUUUCCCACAGCAGAUUCUCAAAGAAAACAAGCAAACUGCUGAAAGCCGAUCGAUCUAAACUCAGCGCUCGCAGCAGCAGCGUCCCUCCUCCUCCCCUUCUUAUAGAAAAUAUAACACUAUAUUUUACAAGAAGACUAAACAGGACAUCUAUUUAUCUUACAAAGAACAGCGUACAGACGAGCGCUGUCCAGGUUCUGCAGCUGCUCCUCCAGUUUCUCACACAGCAUCUUCUACAAGAACAACAACCACAAACCAUCAGACAGAAAAAAACAGAUCAAUUCAUCCGAUCUCCUGCGUCCAGCCGUCAGCUCGUGGUCAAAUGAGGGAAAAAGCUGCUAAUGCAAAAACCAAAAACAUGAACCUUAACCAGGACUUAAAAUUUAAGCUCACAUGUUGGCAAGGCGGACAGAACCAUUCUCCAUCUGGGAUCAGCAUGAGCGGCGGCCGCAGACAGGCGGUGUGGUAUCCUCGAUCACACGAGUCACACAGCAGGAUCUGUGCAACAAACACACACACACAUGACGAAAUGCACUGGAAUAACACACACUGAUGAGAAAACGCCACAAAUCCUGCGGAUGGCACCAACAAGAAAGUCUUUAAAAGCAAAUGUUUCCAUUUUUUUGAUUCAGGAGUUUCUGCUCGUGUAAUGUGAAUGGGAAGUCUUAAUCUGUAACAGUGUCUUCACUGUAAAACAUUUCAAGGUGGUUUAACUUGAAAAUAGAAGUUCACCUUUAAAAGGCAAGUCAACUAAAUAUUUUUGUUAACUCAGAAAUUAAAGUUCACCAAGUGGAUUUAGCAACAAGAAAAUGUCUUAAGAUUUUUCUUUAAGUUCUAAAAACUCAUUAAACUUCAUGUGUGAGUUGUUAUAACUUAAUACUGGAAUUUAAACCAAAUAAUUCUCAACAUUAUGGAAGUUAAGAUAGCUAUUUUAAGACAGAAGAUGCUGGACCAUAAAUUGUCCAAGAAGUUUUUUUUAGAUAAAUGAUAAUAUUGUUGUUUUGAGACAAUUUUCAAGUUAUAUAGUAAUAAUAUAAUAAGGCAAGAACACAUUCUCUGUGACCAAUAAACUAUAAUUUAUAACAAAUAUUCAGCUCUG